RNAcentral lists this ribosomal RNA (780 nucleotides) under Xylographa opegraphella. RNAcentral's name for it is "SSU rRNA". It matches the Rfam family "Eukaryotic small subunit ribosomal RNA", at positions 83 to 881 of the family's 1831-position model. The record is from RNAcentral. Lineage: Eukaryota; Fungi; Ascomycota; Lecanoromycetes; Baeomycetales; Xylographaceae.
GAWACUGCGAAGUGGCUCAUUAAAUCAGUUAUCGUUUAUUUGAUARWACCUCACUACUUGGAUAACCGUGGUAAUUCUAGAGCUAAUACAUGCUAAAAACCCCGACUUCGGAAGGGGKGUAUUUAUUAGAUAAAAAACCAAKGCCCUCCGGGGCUCCUUGGUGAUUCAUAAUAACUCAACGAAUCGCAUGGCCUUGCGCCGGCGAUGGUUCAUUCAAAUUUCUGCCCUAUCAACUUUCGAUGGUAGGAUAGNGGCCUACCAUGGUGGCAACGGGUAACGGGGAAUUAGGGUUCUAUUCCGGAGAGGGAGCCUGAGAAACGGCUACCACAUCCAAGGAAGGCAGCAGGCGCGCAAAUUACCCAAUCCCGACACGGGGAGGUAGUGACAAUAAAUACUGAUACAGGGCUCUUUUGGGUCUUGUAAUUGGAAUGAGUACAAUUUAAAUCCCUUAACGAGGAACAAUUGGAGGGCAAGUCUGGUGCCAGCAGCCGCGGUAAUUCCAGCUCCAAUAGCGUAUAUUAAAGUUGUUGCAGUUAAAAAGCUCGUAGUUGAACCUUGGGCUUGGCUGUCCGGUCCGCCUCACCGCGUGCACUGGUUCGGCCRAGCCUUUCCUUCUGGGGAGCCGCAUGCCCUUCACUGGGUGUGCCGGGGAACCAGGACUUUUACUUUGAAAAAAUUAGAGUGUUCAAAGCAGGCCUAUGCUCGAAUACAUUAGCAUGGAAUAAUAGAAUAGGACGUCGCGGUUCUAUUUUGUUGGUUUCUAGGACCGCCGUAAUGAUA